UACGUAGGGUGCGAGCGUUGUCCGGAAUUAUUGGGCGUAAAGAGCUCGUAGGCGGUGUGUCGCGUCGGCCGUGAAAACCUGGGGCUUAACUCUGGGCGUGCGGUCGAUACGGGCAUCACUAGAGUUCGGCAGGGGAGACUGGAAUUCCUGGUGUAGCGGUGAAAUGCGCAGAUAUCAGGAGGAACACCGGUGGCGAAGGCGGGUCUCUGGGCCAUUACUGACACUGAGAAGCGAAAGCAUGGGGAGCGAACAGG
RNAcentral lists this ribosomal RNA (254 nucleotides) under uncultured bacterium. RNAcentral describes it as "partial 16S ribosomal RNA". It matches the Rfam family "Bacterial small subunit ribosomal RNA", at positions 524 to 776 of the family's 1533-position model. The record is from RNAcentral.